This 468-nucleotide ribosomal RNA is filed under the name uncultured bacterium. RNAcentral describes it as "partial 16S ribosomal RNA". It matches the Rfam family "Bacterial small subunit ribosomal RNA", at positions 28 to 507 of the family's 1533-position model. The record is from RNAcentral.
GACGAACGCUGGCGGCGUGCUUAACACAUGCAAGUCGAACGGAAAGGCCCUGCUUUUGUGGGGUGCUCGAGUGGCGAACGGGUGAGUAACACGUGAGUAACCUGUCCUUGUCUUUGGGAUAACUUCAGGAAACUGGGGCUAAUACCGGAUAGGAGCUCUUGCUGCAUGGUGGGGGUUGGAUAGUUUCGGCGGUUGGGGAUGGACUCGCGGCCUAUCCGCUUGUUGGUGGGGUAGUGGCUUACCAAGGCUUUGACGGGUAGCCGGCCUGAGAGGGUGACCGGCCAAAUUGGGACUGAGAUACGACCCAGACUCCUACGGGAGGCAACAGUGGAGAAGAUAACACAAGAGACUGAAGCCAAAUGCAGCAACGCCACGUGCGGGAAGACGGCCAUCGGGUUGUAAAGCGCAUUCGCCUGAGACGAAAAGAGAAUGACGGUAAUGGGUAAAGAAGCACCGGCUAACUACGUG